UGUGGUUUAAUUCGAAGCAACGCGCAGAACCUUACCUACCCUUGACAUCCCGGUUUCGGUAUCCAGAGAUGGUGUCCAUCAGUUCGGCUGGUCCGGUGACAGGUGCUGCAUGGCUGUCGUCAGCUCGUGUCGUGAGAUGUUGGGUUAAGUCCCGCAACGAGCGCAACCCUCAUCCUUAGUUGCCAUCACGUUUGGGUGGGCACUCUAAGGAAACUGCCGGUGGUAAGCCGGAGGAAGGUGGGGAUGACGUCAAGUCCUCAUGGCCCUUACGGGUAGGGCUACACACGUGCUACAAUGGCAGUGACAAUGGGAUAAUCCCAAAAAGCUGUCUCAGUUCAGAUUGUCCUCUGCAACUCGAGGGCAUGAAGGUGGAAUCGCUAGUAAUCGUGGAUCAGCAUGCCACGGUGAAUACGUUCCCGGGCCUUGUACACACCGCCCGUCACAUCAUGGGAAUUGGUUCUACCCGAAGACGGUGAGCUAACUUCGGAGGCAGCCGGCCACGGUAGGAUCAGUGACUGGGAUG
RNAcentral lists this ribosomal RNA (523 nucleotides) under uncultured bacterium. RNAcentral's name for it is "bacterial SSU rRNA". It matches the Rfam family "Bacterial small subunit ribosomal RNA", at positions 940 to 1482 of the family's 1533-position model. The record is from RNAcentral.